UAGUGGCGAACGGGUGAGUAACACGUGGGUAAUCUGCCCUGCACUCUGGGAUAAGCCUUGGAAACGAGGUCUAAUACCGGAUAUCACAACUCUUCGCAUGGGGGGUUGUUGAAAGUUCCGGCGGUGCAGGAUGAACCCGCGGCCUAUCAGCUUGUUGGUGGGGUAAUGGCCUACCAAGGCGACGACGGGUAGCCGGCCUGAGAGGGUGACCGGCCACACUGGGACUGAGACACGGCCCAGACUCCUACGGGAGGCAGCAGUGGGGAAUAUUGCACAAUGGGCGAAAGCCUGAUGCAGCGACGCCGCGUGAGGGAUGACGGCCUUCGGGUUGUAAACCUCUUUCGCCAGGGACGAAGCGCAAGUGACGGUACCUGGAUAAGAAGCACCGGCUAACUACGUGCCAGCAGCCGCGGUAAUACGUAGGGUGCGAGCGUUGUCCGGAUUUAUUGGGCGUAAAGAGCUCGUAGGCGGUUUGUCGCGUCGGCUGUGAAAUCUGGAGGCUUAACCUUCAGCGUGCAGUCGAUACGGGCAGACUUGAGUUCGGUAGGGGAGACUGGAAUUCCU
Molecule: ribosomal RNA, 564 nt
Filed under: Amycolatopsis sp. 337D04
Lineage: Bacteria; Bacillati; Actinomycetota; Actinomycetes; Pseudonocardiales; Pseudonocardiaceae
Description: bacterial SSU rRNA
Rfam family: Bacterial small subunit ribosomal RNA
Source: RNAcentral